RNAcentral lists this signal recognition particle RNA (251 nucleotides) under Nitrospira sp. RNAcentral describes it as "signal recognition particle sRNA large type". It matches the Rfam family "Bacterial large signal recognition particle RNA". From Rfam's summary of the family: The signal recognition particle (SRP) is a universally conserved ribonucleoprotein involved in the co-translational targeting of proteins to membranes. Archaeal SRP consists of a 7S RNA and homologues of the eukaryotic SRP19 and SRP54 proteins. The record is from RNAcentral. Lineage: Bacteria; Pseudomonadati; Nitrospirota; Nitrospiria; Nitrospirales; Nitrospiraceae.
CCACUCAGAGAAGUGCUGAGUUAUCGGUUUUAAGUUCUGAGUUAGAGGAUAAGGGAGCAGGACACGGCUUCGCACUCAAAACUCAGCACUCAGAACUUUGGGAAAGGGGCUGGGCCCUGUGCAACUGAACCCUGUGAACCCCGCCAGGUCCGGAAGGAAGCAACGGUAAGCGGUCAGUUCUGUGUGCCGCAGGAUCACCUGGCCCCGCUCUUUCUCGAAGCGAGGAGUGCUGAGUUAUGAGUGCUGAGUUG